CAUGCAAGUCGAACGGACUUACAUUGAAGCCUAGCGAUAUGUAAGUUAGUGGCGGACGGGUGAGUAACGCGUGGGUAACCUGCCUUGUACUGGGGGACAACAGUUGGAAACGACUGCUAAUACCGCAUAAGCGCACAGCUUCGCAUGAAGCAGUGUGAAAAACUCCGGUGGUACAAGAUGGACCCGCGUCUGAUUAGCUGGUUGGUGAGGUAACGGCCCACCAAGGCGACGAUCAGUAGCCGGCCUGAGAGGGUGAACGGCCACAUUGGGACUGAGACACGGCCCAAACUCCUACGGGAGGCAGCAGUGGGGAAUAUUGCACAAUGGGGGAAACCCUGAUGCAGCAACGCCGCGUGAGUGAAGAAGUAUUUCGGUAUGUAAAGCUCUAUCAGCAGGAAAGAAAAUGACGGUACCUGACUAAGAAGCCCCGGCUAACUACGUGCCAGCAGCCGCGGUAAUACGUAGGGGGCAAGCGUUAUCCGGAUUUACUGGGUGUAAAGGGAGCGUAGACGGUUUUGCAAGUCUGAAGUGAAAGCCCGGGGCUUAACCCCGGGACUGCUUUGGAAACUGUAGAACUAGAGUGCAGGAGAGGUAAGUGGAAUUCCUAGUGUAGCGGUGAAAUGCGUAGAUAUUAGGAGGAACACCAGUGGCGAAGGCGGCUUACUGGACUGUAACUGACGUUGAGGCUCGAAAGCGUGGGGAGCAAACAGGAUUAGAUACCCUGGUAGUCCACGCCGUAAACGAUGAUUACUAGGUGUUGGUGGGUACGACCCAUCGGUGCCGCAGCAAACGCAGUAAGUAAUCCACCUGGGG
RNAcentral lists this ribosomal RNA (813 nucleotides) under uncultured bacterium. RNAcentral's name for it is "bacterial SSU rRNA". It matches the Rfam family "Bacterial small subunit ribosomal RNA", at positions 54 to 878 of the family's 1533-position model. The record is from RNAcentral.